CUACAGUUCCGGUUUCUAGGUUAUCUUCACCUACAUCUUCCAGUCAUUACCACCACUAAUAUCUUUGUUCUCCCUUCAAUCGCAUGAUAUUGGCAAGAUGAUGCUCUGAUUUGGAGUGAAUUAGGGUACAAUCAAGGGGACCAUAUCUGCGAUUACCUACCGUGCGUCACCACUACCAACAUUCAAUGGAGGCGAUGGUGUUUUCUCAAGAUUCUAGGGUUCACGAUGCUCCUGGCCGGUUCUGGUAGGACGCUAGGGUUCCGGCCACUUUCCGGUAAAUCAGAUGCGUUUCCGAUGAACCAAACGCCGGCCCGAAUAUAUGCGAGAAUAUAUAAGGCGCAAAGGAAAACAGACGGAACGACGUUUGUUGUUAAAUGUAAGGAGCUGAGUACUCAGUUAUGCUAUGUCUUUUGGUUCAAAAAUGUCAACUGACGAAAUAUUAUUUAUGAUACAAAUGUAUUUAGUCAUGCUAUUCCCUUUACUGUUGACAAUCGCGAAUAGUAUGAGAUAGUAGUUACCACUUACCAGGUAAGCUUAUGAUUUAA
This is a long non-coding RNA of Helianthus annuus (common sunflower), 545 nucleotides long. RefSeq lists it as uncharacterized. The record is from RefSeq and is a predicted model, not a curated record. The transcript has 2 exons. Lineage: Eukaryota; Viridiplantae; Streptophyta; Magnoliopsida; Asterales; Asteraceae.